This 1351-nucleotide long non-coding RNA is filed under the name Papio anubis (olive baboon). Its description in RNAcentral is "lncRNA (ENSPANG00000051331.1)". The record is from RNAcentral. Lineage: Eukaryota; Metazoa; Chordata; Mammalia; Primates; Cercopithecidae.
GAAGUGACCAGUCAUUCUCUGGGUCUCCUGCAUGGCUCUUAUCCUAGGACUCUCCAUAAAUUUUUUUUUUUUUAAAUUCCUGCACACCACGUCUUCUUUUUCUUAAUUUAUUCCCUUGCCAUGUUUUGUAAGUGUCCUAGUUACUUAUUGCUGCAUAACAAAUCACCCUAAAACUCGAUGGCAUGAAGCAAUUUCUGAUUUCCACCAUUCAGUGGGCUAACUGUGUUGUUCUUCUGUGCCGUGUGCUGGUGACUGGGGUGCUGGCAUGUCUGUAGUCAUCAUGGGGCUUGAGUGUUCUGCACAGUGAUGGCGGCUCCCUCGCACAGUUGGGGGAUAGUGCUGGUUGUUGGCUGGGAGCAAAACUUGAUCAGUCAACCAGAAUAACUGUGCAUGGCCUCUCCAUGUGGCUUGGACUUUUCACAGCACAGAAAAGUCCUUGGUUUUGUGGUGGAGCAUCUCAAGAGUGAGCUUUUUAAAAUGCCCUGAGGAAAUCUGCAAGGUUUCUUAUUAUCUGACUUUGGAAGACCUAUAACACCACUUUUGCCAUAUUUGUUGAAGAAAAUCACUAUGGCAAGCAUGGAUUCCAGAGAGGAAAUUAGACAUAUUUUGAUGUGAGGAGCAGUAUGUGGACAGAGGGAGGGAAGAACUAGUUGGCAGCCACCUUUGAGACUAGCUACCAUGUUAGGGUAACACUGCUGUCAUAAACUCCAGCAUUCAGGUGACAUAACACAAUAAUAUUUUAUUCCUACUUAUGUUUAUCUUCUCUCUCCUUCUAUUUUAUGGCUCUUUCACUAGAGCAUUGGAGUUCUCUGCUUUUAGCUGGAGGAUGGAGAAAGAGCAAAUAUAGGAGACACCUCUGCUUCUUAAUCACUUUGGCCCAGAAAUAACACAAAUCACGUCUGCCCCAUCCUAUUGUGGAAUACGGCUACACCAAGUUAUAUGGCCAAACCCAGACAAAAAGAGGGCUAGGAAGAGUAUUCCCUGGCUGAGUAGCAGGUACCCAAGGAAAGCUUUGUGGAUGGAAGGAAGAUUAUAAUUUCUGAUGAAUAGCUAGUUGUCUCUGUCACGCUUAUUUGCAAGAGCACAACUCCCAAUAGCUUCUUGACAAAAGUGGUUGGGAGAAACAUAUUUUGAUCAUUGUACAUAAAAAAAUAGACUUAGUCUGGCCUUCCAUUUGAUUAAUAGGUUGACUGGAUAGAGAAUUGUCUGUUAAAAUCAUUUUCUUUUACUUUUGAAGGUUUGCUUCACUGUGUGAUGCCAAUUUGAUUCUUGUUCUUUGAAUGUGAAUUGCUUUUCUCUCUGCAGAUUGGAAGAUCAUCCACUAAUCCCUGGGCUUUGGGAAACCAGUUUG